This 459-nucleotide ribosomal RNA is filed under the name uncultured bacterium. Its description in RNAcentral is "partial 16S ribosomal RNA". It matches the Rfam family "Bacterial small subunit ribosomal RNA", at positions 338 to 795 of the family's 1533-position model. The record is from RNAcentral.
CCUACGGGAGGCAGCAGUGAGGAAUAUUGGUCAAUGGGCGCGAGCCUGAACCAGCCAAGUCGCGUGAGGGAAGACGGCCCUAUGGAUUGUAAACCUCUUCUGUCGGGGAGCAAAAGACGCCACGCGUGGCGUUCCGAGAGUACCUGACGAAAAAGCAUCGGCAAACACGGUGCCAGCAGCGGCGGUACUAGGGGGGAUGCGAGCGUUAUCCGGAUUUAUUGGGGUUAAAGGGUGCGCAGGGGGAAGAUCAAGUCAGCGGGAAAAUUGAGGGGCUAAACCUGGUCGAGCAGUUGAAUCUGGUUAUCUUGAGUGAGUGAGAGGGAUGCGGAAUGCGUGGUGUAGCGGUGAAAUGCGUAGAUAUCACGCAGAACUCCGGUUGCGAAGGCAGCAUACCGGCGAUCAACUGACGCUCAGGCACGAAAGUGUGGGUAUCGAACAGGAUUAGAUACCCCGGUAGUC